RNAcentral lists this small RNA (438 nucleotides) under Pan troglodytes (chimpanzee). Its description in RNAcentral is "retained intron". Lineage: Eukaryota; Metazoa; Chordata; Mammalia; Primates; Hominidae. The record is from RNAcentral.
AUUCAUUCCUCUUUAUAGUUUAACUUUGUUAGGUGGAACCAUAUGAAAUUUCCAUCUCUGCAGGUCACAAAGACCAAAUAUCCGAAAUUUCAUAUGGCCAACCUAUAGUUGAAAAUAUGUCAGUGCUUUCUAUAUAUUUUGUGUUUUGCUUGGAUUAUUGUGCAUUAUUUUGUUUUGUUUUUGUUUUCCAGCAAUUGGGAGCAGUAGUUUCAGCCCACGACCAACUCACCAGUUCUCUCCACCACAGAUUUACCCUUCCAACAGACCAUACCCACAUAUUCUCCCUACCCCUUCCUCACAAACUAUGGCUGCAUAUGGGCAAACACAGUUUACCACAGGAAUGCAACAAGCUACAGCCUAUGCCACGUACCCACAGCCAGGACAGCCGUACGGCAUUUCCUCAUAUGGUGCAUUGUGGGCAGGCAUCAAGACUGAAGG